RNAcentral lists this long non-coding RNA (474 nucleotides) under Fukomys damarensis (Damara mole-rat). RNAcentral's name for it is "lncRNA (ENSFDAG00000023767.1)". The record is from RNAcentral. Lineage: Eukaryota; Metazoa; Chordata; Mammalia; Rodentia; Bathyergidae.
AAAUUUUAUCCAUAAAAUGAAAUGAUUAAUUCAGCAAAUUGUGGUCUCUUUUUGUAGGUCUAAUACUUGGAAAGAUUGGAUGUGGAGGAGGUGCUAGAGGACCUUUGGUCUGAUGUUUACUGGACAGUUCAUAAGAAUCUAAUACCCCACAGGCAGCAUGGGCGUCAGGUGCCCUGCAGCGCUACCCCAGCAAAGGAACAUUGGAGAAGAAAAGAUAUAGCAAGUCACUGAAGCGUGAUAGCCGCAGUACCACAGACAUUUACGAAGAGAUGAUGGAAUGCUGACCUACUGAUGAAGCUGUUACUGAAGAUGAUCAGGGUAGACUGCAGUACAUCUCACCCAUCAAUGGGCAUUUCCUAUCAGGAGCAUCUUUAUUUUUUACCUGAAGCCUCUUGCCCCUCCAAACAGCUGGAGUCAGAUAAGGUUAUACCUGUUUGCAUCAGAAGGAGAAGAAGAGGGCAAGUACUGUGCUAA